Cucumis melo (muskmelon) is the source of this 3062-nucleotide RNA transcript. It is a transcript of the gene named probable transcriptional regulatory protein At2g25830, with no coding region annotated. NCBI's taxonomy places the organism in Eukaryota, Viridiplantae, Streptophyta, Magnoliopsida, Cucurbitales, Cucurbitaceae. The record is from RefSeq and is a predicted model, not a curated record. The transcript is spliced from 10 exons.
AGGCUUAGCACAGUGCAAAACUGCAGAGGCCGCCAUGUCAAAAGCUUCGCUCUGUGUCAAACACGAAGCUGCUACAAUAUGGGUUCGCUCCGACCAUUUGGAGUAAUCCUUCAAAAGUUCUCCCUACAUUCGAUCAUUCACAAAUCCCCCCGUUUCUUCCAUCCUCACAGUAAUGGGUUGGGUUCAUCAUCAUCAUUGGCUGCCGUAACAUCAAGUUCUCCUUCGUGGGCUUUUGAUAGUAAGCUGAAAAGUCGUGGUAAUCAAGUGCGAAGGAUAUGGAUGUCUCCGGUUUGUAUGGGCAGGCGUUCCUGCAAGAUUGCUGGCCGGAAGGGUGCUCAGGAUGCAAAGAAGGCAAAGCUUUAUGCUAAGAUUGGAAAGGAGGUUGUUUCUGCCGUUAAAAGGGGAGGAACAAGCCCCACAUCCAAUCCCCUUCUGACUGCCCUACUUGAGAAAUUUAAGGAGCUUGAUAUUCCGAAAGAAAUUUUUGAUCGCAACAUUAAGAGGGCUUCUGAGAAAGGACAAGAGGCUUACAUAGAGAAAACUUACGAGGUAUAUGGUUAUGGCGGUGCUAGUAUGGUUGUUGAGGUCUCAACAGAUAAGAUAAAUCGCUCAGUGGCAGCUGUUAGAGAAGUAUUGAAGGACUAUGGUGGAAAGAUGGCAGAUUCAGGAUCUGUUAUGUUCAAGUUCAGACGUGCUCGAGUUGUGAAUGUUAAGGCCUCUAAUGUUGACAAAGACCAGCUUCUCAACAUAUCUCUAGAUGCGGGUGCAGAAGAUGUUAUUGAACCUCCAGAAUAUGAAGAUGAUACAGAAGAAGAUAAGUCGGAAAGAUAUUACAAAAUUGUGACUUCCACGGAGAACUACUUAGGAAUACUAUCCAAGUUACGUGAAGAAAACAUAAAGUUCGAAACUGACGGUGGUUCUGAGCUACUUCCCAUAAGCUCUAUUGAGGUGGAUGAUGAAGCUAUGGACUUGAAUAAAGAACUAAUGGACAAGUUGCUUGAACUCGAUGAUGUCGAUGCAGUUUAUACUGAUCAAAAGUGAAUAUUUCUUCUUCUGUAAUAUCCAAUCAACAUGGAGAGAGGUCUAAACUGAAGAGAAACUGAUGAAUACAUGAGGAAGAAGAGGCCUACAUUUUGUACAGGUACAAACAAUCUACGUGGCUGCACCAUUAGUCGCGUCGCCACAUGUACGUAUUUCUUACCCUUAACUGUAAUAAUGUAUACAUUAUGUGUUUUCUGAUCCCAAUUAAUUUAAUAAGGUAUGCUUUAGUAUUGAAGUGAUCCUAAUUCUUGGGAACCCAGCAACCGUGUAGGCCAUAAGGAAGACCAUAAGGAAACUUUGCUCUGGCUAUCUCUUCAAAUGUUGAUCCAUCUAGUAGUAAAGCAUACCCUUCUCCAUUUUUCCCACUGACCAUAGAGAUCACCACUCCUGCACCCACGUGAACACAUUUCAGACACAUUCCCUUUCCCUUAGGAAUACGGUUUCAUACAUUAGUUAAAAGUGAAGAUCACGAGUACGAGACCUUCAAAGUGGUAUGUUCAUUUGUUUUAUUCACUUAGAGGAUGAUAUAAAAUGACUCACCAUCAUCUUCUUCGGUUGCACCCGGUCGAGCCACAAAGAAAGGCUCGGAAGGGACAGUGCCCUCCUCAUACCAAUUCUUGGCCAUCUUCUUCACCAAAUCGAUCUGAAACGAACAAAUUCAUAACAAGGAUAAAGUGAAUUUGUGGGUCGAGGAAGAAGAUAAAAAAGGCAAAGAUGAAGCAUAUAGGUCAGGGAAAAGGGCACCUUGGUAAGUGUGUUCGGGAAAUUACAGGGUCUUUCGGCUCCACAAGCAUAGGCAUAUCUAUAUUUUUUGCCUAAGUAAGCAGGAUUGAAGCUGCACAUAUCCAUUCCUCUGCCAUGUUCAUCAGGGUCCAAUGCUGCCUCCAACUCCCCAUAUCCACUCCCAUCCAGUGGUAGACUAAACGAACCUGGCAUCUGGAAGGGGAUAUUUGAGAGAAUCACGCAAAUUAUGAAGCCUAAGUCGGUCUAAGAUUACAGGAUUGGCGUUAUGUUCGCAACAAUCAGCAAUCACAGCAGUAAUCCUUCCCUUUUCAUCCCUCUCUUCAUAUGCAUUUAUGAAAUGAAAUGUAAUGAAUAAUGGCACUUCUACACUUGCCACCUGCAUCAUGCCGUUGAAAACCAUGCAUUAUUAUAAGUUUAUUAGCACAAUUAACUUCUUAUUAUAAGCUUGUGAACUGAUGUAUGUAUGUAUAUUGUUCAAAAUUAAAUAUUCCAAUGAGGUAAAAUGAGUUAGAAAUUAAGAAAAGACUUACAAUGUUUCCACUAGCUUUGCACAUGACAUGCAUAAAGGCUUUGGACUCCGGCCGCCACUCAAACUUGUACAACGGUGUAGGCUCCGCCUUCAGCAGGUUUUGAGCACAAUAUCUCAACGGCAUCUCCGGCACCACCACGUAAUUCUCCGUCACUGGAAACGAGUGGACCCAACCCGGGGCUGGCCCACCCUUGCAAUUGACUCGACCGAUCACCUUCCGCUCGUUCGAGCUUGGUUCCAUCCGAACCACCAAGUAACCUGGGUUCAAAAGAUCUGGCAACAACGUUAAAAACUCCGAGUCUGUAACAAUUGGAUGAGCCGAGUGAAUCAAACCACCAAGUGAAUCACUGUACUCAAACUUUCCCACAGUCUCUAAUGUGUCUGGAUCGAUCAUUAUAGACCCCUUUUGAGUUUCUGUAAGACAAACAACGCGACCGUCGCCAAGCUUCACAACUCCAGUGUUUGCGUUAUCAGUCAGUGAUGCACCAGAGAAAAGCUUUAUAGGCGUUCGAUUCAAUCUGACGGUGACCGGCAAUUAGUCGACCGUUAUCAAAGUGAAGCUUAACAAUCAUCGCAUAGCCAUCAAAAAGAUGCCUAAAGUCAUAAUCACCAAUAUUCCAUAAUCCAGGUCCAUUUCUCAAAUAUGUCCCACUCUGCAUGCAAAAAACAUAAGAAGAAUUAUUCAAUGUAACAAUUGAAGAUUAAGGAUGUGAACACAAUUAAUUAAGAUAAAUUAAGGUUUGAAUGA